AUAUCUUCGAAAUCGUCCGGUAAGUACUGCCAUCUACUUGGUUAACUGAAAACUUUUUAAUUGAUAUUUUGACAGUCCUAAAUUAGAAAUUACCUGUACCUCAUUCAAAAUUUCUUCUUUUUAAAUUAAUUUGUUACUGAAACGUUUGUCGAAGACUGAAACGACCAACUUGGUCGGCCAAAUUCGUGUUGAGGUAAAGUAACAGUCUUUUGGUGCUGGCAAUCCUCUAGAACAAGUAGCUAUUUCCAUUCUAAUUCUAAUUUUUUUUUGGAAAACUAAGUCCGAUAAAAGAGAGGGUUUAUAGCAGCAUAAUAAGAAAGAAACUCGAAUAUGAAUGUAUAUUCGAGAGCAUUCCGUCUAUUAUAAAUAAGCAGUAGGAACUUAGGUAAGUGUUUUUAUUAAUUUUUGCUUAUAGAAUUACCACAAAGUUCCGAAGUAUUCUUUACCCAUUCAGCACGAGCUGCUGUAUCGCUAAGUAUUUCAAAUAAAGUAUCUUUUUCUCCACAAACAAAACAUUUCUUGCCGAUUUUUGAACUUUUUAGAAGAAUGAUUGAAAAUUUGACAAAAAUUGUCAAAUUUGAAAUAUCAAUAGUCUUUAAGUUAUCAGGUAGAUGACGCUAGUUACCGGACGAUUUUCGAGGUUAGUAAAAAAUCAGUCACGGCAAUUACUGCAUUGUUAAAUCCUGUUAUAAUAAUAAAUUGAAUAAUAGCGAUAUCGCUUUUUUAUACUUCCCACAGAUUCGUCAUUAGCACGGAAAUGGCUAGAAGCUGUAGAUCGGAAAGAUUUACUAGAAGUAAAUUAUACCAAACAAAAUUUUGGGGUUUGUAGUGAUAAUUUUGCUCAAGAGCAGUUGGAAAGAAAAUGGCUAAGAUUUGUAUUAAUACGCGGAUCUAUACCAAACAUAAGUUAUAUAAAAAAUGUAACCAGGAGAGGAAACAAAUGUUGAGAAGGCCAUUGAAAUUGAUAAUAUUAAUUCUGAUACUAAUUUCCCACUUAUAAUUUAAAAUUAUAAGUUUUAAUUGAGAUGAUUAAAAACAUAGAACACAUUAUUCUUAUUGUCAAUUUAUGUAAUGAAGAUUCGACGAAUUUGUUCUUUGGGCUAGCAGAUUCGAAAAUAGAAUUAAAGUUUGAAAAAAAAAUUAUUCAUUAAUAUUAAAUAAGUUUGUUUGGACUAAAAUGUGUAUUUCUCACUA
This is a long non-coding RNA of Tribolium madens (black flour beetle), 1194 nucleotides long. RefSeq lists it as uncharacterized. The record is from RefSeq and is a predicted model, not a curated record. The transcript has 3 exons. Lineage: Eukaryota; Metazoa; Arthropoda; Insecta; Coleoptera; Tenebrionidae.